UACGUAGGGUGCAAGCGUUGUCCGGAAUUAUUGGGCGUAAAGAGCUCGUAGGCGGUCUGUCGCGUCUGCUGUGAAAACUCGGGGCUUAACCCCGGGCCUGCAGUGGGUACGGGCAGACUAGAGUGCGGUAGGGGAGACUGGAAUUCCUGGUGUAGCGGUGAAAUGCGCAGAUAUCAGGAGGAACACCGGUGGCGAAGGCGGUUCUCUGGGCAUGUUCUGACGCUGAGGAGCGAAAGUGUGGGGAGCGAACAGG
Molecule: ribosomal RNA, 253 nt
Filed under: uncultured bacterium
Lineage: Bacteria
Description: partial 16S ribosomal RNA
Rfam family: Bacterial small subunit ribosomal RNA
Source: RNAcentral